RNAcentral lists this ribosomal RNA (485 nucleotides) under Geitlerinema sp. BBD. RNAcentral's name for it is "bacterial SSU rRNA". It matches the Rfam family "Bacterial small subunit ribosomal RNA", at positions 384 to 860 of the family's 1533-position model. Lineage: Bacteria; Bacillati; Cyanobacteriota; Cyanophyceae; Geitlerinematales; Geitlerinemataceae. The record is from RNAcentral.
UGUCGCAGCAAUGCCGCGUGAGUGAAGAAGGCCUUCGGGUCGUAAAGCUCUGUCAAAUAGGAAGAAUGUAUUUAUAGUUAAUAGCAUUAAAUAGUGACGGUACUAUUAGAGGAAGCACCGGCUAACUCCGUGCCAGCAGCCGCGGUAAUACGGAGGGUGCAAGCGUUAUUCGGAAUCAUUGGGCGUAAAGGGCGCGUAGGCGGUUUGACAAGUCAGAUGUGAAAUCCCGGGGCUUAACCCCGGUAGGUCAUUUGAAACUGUCAGACUUGAGUGAGGUAGAGGAAAGCGGAAUUCCUGGUGUAGCGGUGAAAUGCGUAGAUAUCAGGAGGGACAUCUGUGGCGAAGGCGGCUUUCUGGACCUAAACUGACGCUGAUGCGCGAAGGCGUGGGUAGCAAACGGGAUUAGAUACCCCGGUAGUCCACGCAGUAAACGUUGAUUACUAGGUGUUGGUUGCAUAAAGCAAUCAGUGCCGCAGCAAACGCGU